Cyprinus carpio (common carp) is the source of this 448-nucleotide long non-coding RNA. Lineage: Eukaryota; Metazoa; Chordata; Actinopteri; Cypriniformes; Cyprinidae. The record is from Ensembl.
AUGAUCGCAGGGAACUGCAUGAGCCUCUCAAACUGCUGUGUCUUUGUGAGAGACCAGAGGACUGGAGCUAAGGGGGAAAACGCCAUCUGCAACUGCCAGCCAUUUACACUGCCUUUUUGGAGCAAGAGGGAGAGAGGAAAAAAUGGUGCAAUUGUCCAAAUGAAAGAAAAGAAAAAUAAUAGUCAACCCUCAUCCUUCUUCUACCAGCUCCCCUCCCUUCUUCAUCAACGGAAGCAUUUAGUGCCAUCUGUGCCCCCGGAGAAAAGAGGAAAAAAGGAAAGGAGUGAGACUCUACAUCCCAAGUGCCAAUGGGGACAAAGAGGCUGCCAGUUGCCACGGACCACCAGAUGCAGGAAGACUGCAAGUCUGAAUGAGGGGUGUGCUUUCAGGAAGCCAUCUUGAUGGAGAAACUGGCUGCUGCUCCCUAAAAUGGCUGUGUUGGCAUGAG